RNAcentral lists this ribosomal RNA (502 nucleotides) under uncultured bacterium. Its description in RNAcentral is "bacterial SSU rRNA". It matches the Rfam family "Bacterial small subunit ribosomal RNA", at positions 29 to 525 of the family's 1533-position model. The record is from RNAcentral.
AUUGAACGCUGGCGGCAUGCGUAACACAUGCAAGUCGAACGGUGUUUGGUGCUUGCACCAGACAUAGUGGCGGACGGGUGAGUAAUGCGUAGGAAUCUGUCUUAGAGAGGGGGACAACCCGAGGAAACUUGGGCUAAAACCGCAUAUUCUCGAGAGAGGAAAGCAGGGGACCGGAAACGGCCUUGUGCUCUAAGGUGAGCCUACGUCGGAUUAGCUAGUUGGUAGGGUAAAAGCCUACCAAGGCGAUGAUCUGUAGCUGGUCUGAGAGGACGGACAGCCACACUGGGACUGAGACACGGCCCAGACUCCUACGGGAGGCAGCAGUGGGGAAUAUUGGACAAUGGGGGGAACCCUGAUCCAGCGAUGCCGCGUGUGUGAAGAAGGCCUGCGGGUUGUAAAGCACUUUCAGUGGGAAAGAGAAGCGUCUUGUGAAUAAUGGGACGUGGAGACGUUACUCACAGAAGAAGCACCGGCUAACUCUGUGCCAGCAGCCGCGGUAAUC